RNAcentral lists this ribosomal RNA (494 nucleotides) under uncultured bacterium. RNAcentral describes it as "partial 16S ribosomal RNA". It matches the Rfam family "Bacterial small subunit ribosomal RNA", at positions 28 to 507 of the family's 1533-position model. The record is from RNAcentral.
GACGAACGCUGGCGGCGUGCUUAACACAUGCAAGUCGAACGGAAAGGCCUGCUUUCCCUUGUGGAUUGCGGGUACUCGAGUGGCGAACGGGUGAGUAACACGUGAGUGAUCUGCCCCCAACUUGGGUAUAAGCCUGGGAAACUGGGUCUAAUUCCCGAUAGUACUGCAGGGUGGUGCCUGUGGUGGAAAACGAUUUUCUAGUGGUUGGGGAUGAGCUCGCGGCCUAUCAGCUUGUUGGUGGGGUAAUGGCCUACCAAGGCGGCGACGGGUAGCCGGCCUGAGAGGGUGGACGGCCACAUUGGGACUGAGAUACGGCCCAGACUCCUACGGGAGGCAGCAGUGGGGAAUAUUACACAAUGGGCGGAAGCCUGAUGCAGCGACGCCGCGUGGGGGAUGACGGCCUUCGGGUUGUAAACUCCUUUCGACCGCGAGGAAGCCACCUGGUUGGAAGGGUGGUGACGGUAGUGGUAGAAGAAGCACCGGCUAACUACGUG